Molecule: ribosomal RNA, 684 nt
Filed under: Brevundimonas sp. B744_3
Lineage: Bacteria; Pseudomonadati; Pseudomonadota; Alphaproteobacteria; Caulobacterales; Caulobacteraceae
Description: bacterial SSU rRNA
Rfam family: Bacterial small subunit ribosomal RNA
Source: RNAcentral
CUCUUCGGAGUUAGUGGCGGACGGGUGAGUAACACGUGGGAACGUGCCUUUUGGUUCGGAAUAACUCAGGGAAACUUGUGCUAAUACCGAAUGUGCCCUUCGGGGGAAAGAUUUAUCGCCAUUAGAGCGGCCCGCGUCUGAUUAGCUUGUUGGUGGGGUAAUGGCCCACCAAGGCUACGAUCAGUAGCUGGUCUGAGAGGAUGACCAGCCACAUUGGGACUGAGACACGGCCCAAACUCCUACGGGAGGCAGCAGUGGGGAAUCUUGCGCAAUGGGCGAAAGCCUGACGCAGCCAUGCCGCGUGUAUGAUGAAGGUCUUAGGAUUGUAAAAUACUUUCACCGGUGAAGAUAAUGACUGUAGCCGGAGAAGAAGCCCCGGCUAACUUCGUGCCAGCAGCCGCGGUAAUACGAAGGGGGCUAGCGUUGCUCGGAAUUACUGGGCGUAAAGGGAGCGUAGGCGGACAUUUAAGUCAGAGGUGAAAUCCCGGAGCUUAACUUCGGAACUGCCUUUGAUACUGGAUGUCUUGAGUGUGAGAGAGGUAUGUGGAACUCCGAGUGUAGAGGUGAAAUUCGUAGAUAUUCGGAAGAACACCAGUGGCGAAGGCGACAUACUGGCUCAUUACUGACGCUGAGGCUCGAAAGCGUGGGGAGCAAACAGGAUUAGAUACCCUGGUAGUCCACGCC